GGGCCUGCACAAGCGGUGGAGCAUGUGGUUUAAUUCGAAGCAACGCGCAGAACCUUACCAGCCUUUGACAUCCUGGUCGCGGUUAGAGGAGACUCUUACCUUCAGUUCGGCUGGACCAGUGACAGGUGCUGCAUGGUUGUCGUCAGCUCGUGCCGUGAGGUGUCAGGUUAAGUCCUAUAACGAGCGCAACCCCUACCGUUAGUUGCUACCAUUUAGUUGGGCACUUUAAGGAAACUGCCGGUGAUAAGCCGGAGGAAGGUGGGGAUGACGUCAAGUCCUCAUGGCCCUUACAGGCUGGGCUACACACGUGCUACAAUGGCGAUGACAGUGGGCAGCGACCCCGCAAGGGUGAGCUAAUCUCCAAAAGUCGUCUCAGUUCGGAUUGUCCUCUGCAACUCGAGGGCAUG
RNAcentral lists this ribosomal RNA (407 nucleotides) under uncultured bacterium. RNAcentral describes it as "bacterial SSU rRNA". It matches the Rfam family "Bacterial small subunit ribosomal RNA", at positions 917 to 1322 of the family's 1533-position model. The record is from RNAcentral.